Pelobates cultripes (western spadefoot toad) is the source of this 261-nucleotide non-coding RNA. The record is from the annotation of a GenBank genome assembly. NCBI's taxonomy places the organism in Eukaryota, Metazoa, Chordata, Amphibia, Anura, Pelobatidae.
GCAGGGCUCGAGUCCUGCAGGAACGCAUGGGAACGGCGUUCCUGCACUUUUUCCAAAGCAGGAACGCCGUUCCCGCUAGUGAUCCUGCAGGAGAUGUGCCUGCUCACACUACUCUCCCCUGCGGUAGUUUACUGAUGAGUGAGUAAAGACUGCAGUGGGCGGGGCGUUUAACAUCACUUCCUGUCAGGCCCUGCUAGAGGAUUACCGAGCAGGGAGAGCUAAGAACAUCUCUUUUCAGAUAAUUACACACCACCAACGGUA